GACGAACGCUGGCGGCGUGCCUAAUACAUGCAAGUCGAGCGAAGUUUUUCUGGUGCUUGCACUAGAAAAACUUAGCGGCGAACGGGUGAGUAACACGUAAAGAACCUGCCUCAUAGACUGGGACAACUAUUGGAAACGAUAGCUAAUACCGGAUAAAGGUAUUUCUGGCUUGAGGGAUAUUUAAAGGUUGUUUAUGCUACAACUAUAGAAUGCCUUUGCGGUGCAUUAGCUAGUUGGUGGGGUAAAGGCCCACCAAGGCGACGAUGCAUAGCCGACCUGAGAGGGUGAUCGGCCACACUGGGACUGAGACACGGCCCAGACUCCUACGGGAGGCAGCAGUAGGGAAUCUUCCGCAAUGGGCGAAAGCCUGACGGAGCAACGCCGCGUGAGUGAAGAAGGAUUUCGGUUCGUAAAGCUCUGUUGUUAGGGAAGAAUGGAUAUGUAGUAACUAUACAUGUAAGAGACGGUACCUAACCAGAAAGCCACGGCUAACUACGUG
This 499-nucleotide ribosomal RNA is filed under the name uncultured bacterium. RNAcentral's name for it is "partial 16S ribosomal RNA". It matches the Rfam family "Bacterial small subunit ribosomal RNA", at positions 28 to 507 of the family's 1533-position model. The record is from RNAcentral.